Felis catus (domestic cat) is the source of this 3405-nucleotide long non-coding RNA. RefSeq lists it as uncharacterized. The record is from RefSeq and is a predicted model, not a curated record. NCBI's taxonomy places the organism in Eukaryota, Metazoa, Chordata, Mammalia, Carnivora, Felidae. The transcript is spliced from 3 exons.
AAGGCACUGGAUGGGACUGGGGGAGCCCUUCCUCAUGGAAUGGAGGGGAGAGGGAAGGUAGGCAGGCAGGUAGGAAAAUAUACUGCCACGCAGCAUAAGAGAGUGUCAGUUGAUGGUGGGUCCCCAAGUCAAAAUUGCUGGCCAGAGGAUUCCCAUGUCCCCAGGAUCAGACUGCCUUAGCAUCCCUUUCCUGUUCAGCCGAUGGCUAGGAGCAGCCCAUGGGAAGUGUGGCUUGAGAGUGUGCAUAUGGGUGGACUUCAGAGAGUAACAACCUAGGCCCUUACACAAUUGUGCUUCAGCAUUAGGUGGCCUGCAAGGUGAUUCUUAUGGCUACCACAACUAUGAGGCAAGUAAUCCAGAUGCUGAGAGACAAUAACCUAGGAAAGUGAGCAUUCAGAUGAAUUAGCAAUGGAUGGAUGGCCUCUCGGGGAAAUGGCAUUUAACGUAAGACUAGAAGGAUGAGAAAAAUCCAGCUAUAUGUAAAGCCUGGAAAAAGUAUUGUAAGUAGAGAGGGAAGAGCAAGUGCAAAGGCCCUGUGGCGGUAUCUAAGGGUCCCUCAGAAGGCCAGUGAAUGUAACCAGAACAAAGAAGAGUGGCAGAAGUUAUAGACAAGAUGAUAAUCCAGGAUUUUGUACAUCAUUUCAAGGAGUUUAUACUUUAUUCUAACUGCAGAGGAAAGACAGUGGCGAAUUUAAGUUGGACAGUGAUACGAUUUGACGUAUUUGAAGAAGACCGCUCUAGCUGCUGCACUGGGCACGGCUUAUAGUUUUUCAAGAGUGGAAAUUAAUUAGAUGGUGACAGAUGAUGAUUUACACAGUCAAGGCGCAUUGACCUAAUCUGGGGUUGCCAGGGGCUGCGGGUGUGGAACAAAAAGGCUUCAUGGGGGAGAGGUCAUCUGAGCUGUGUCUUAAAGGGGUGGCUUUUUAAAGCAAUUGCAGAAAGGAGGUGACAUUUAAGGGGAACUUGACUGGCUCUCCGAAGGGAGGAGCAACCUUAUAGCACUUUUCAAAAUCACUUCACUAAAACCCAGAGUCAAAGCAGUCUUUAAUUUAGUGCCUUUUAUAGGACAGAAUACAGUUUAGGAGUAACCAAGGACAUUCACAGGUGAAAAGUACUUAAAUCAGAGAGACAGCGUAGUUAGGGAAAGGAGACCAACCAUUUUUUUCUUUAUGGCAGAGAACAUUAACUGAAUACCUCAGAGGCUGAAGCAAAGAAACAAAGAGAACACUAGUCGUCUUUGUCAACCUGGCUCUGAAUGCAAACACCGUUUUGAACUUGGAGGACUCAUGGGAAGUUGGUUUGAUGGUUGGAGGCUUGUUUGUAGAACUCCUUCUUUGCUGCUUCUUUCUAUACUUUGUUUUCUUUUUGUUUCUGGUUUUUAGUAAAGCCUAUACCCGCAAUCACAACAGUCUCACCAAGGACUAAAUCAGAGACCAGAGUCCGAAUGCCCAGUCACGUUGCUCCCUCUACCACUCGGUGGAUUUCUUCUAGAUUCUAUAUUCUGAUGUCAGCCAUCUCCCGCCCUUCUUUUCUUUCCUCACGGGCCCUGCCUUAGGUUUAUACUUUUGCAAUAGAUCCUUAAAUGUUCUCCCUGCCUCCAGAUUCUUACAUUGCACACGGGUCAAAUGUCAAAACGGGGCUUCUUGGAUAAAAGCAGCCCACGGUGCCUUUCCUUUUUCUUUUCUGUCCAAAACACUUUUUAGAAUAAGAUGUCUGGAUAGAAAAAUUAGAUGUGUUUACAUAAAAAUACCCAUUCCUGGUUUCUCUUGGAAACUCAGUUGAUCUGGACCACACUAGUUCAGCCAGAGCGACGGGUGGACGAAACCCAAUAGGGGUCCUCUCUUCUCGCUCAGGCGUCAGACGUCUCUCCAGUUUGUCAUCACCUCUCUUCCUCGCUGUGGUUCUAUACCUUUCCUUUUUUUACCUCCCUGAAUCUGGGGUGCAUUUGAAUUCCAAACAGAAAUCUGGUCAUGUGACACUCUUAUUUAAAAAACCUGCACCUGUUGGUCUGGCAGAUGAAGUUCAAACUCUUCACCGUAGCACAGAAAGGACUUCUUCACCUGGUCUCAUGCUCUCUGUGGAUGUCCUUUGUGACUCAUGCCCUUCUCAGAAGUCAUGCUGAAUGGCUGCACCGUGUUGUGUGUCUGUGUCUUCUUCUGUCUACUGUGAUUUCUUCCUUUCAGGUGGGAUGCCAUUUCUUUUCUUCUGCAGCUGGUGUACGUUUAUUCUUUAGCCUCUGUCCAAAUAUAAAUCCUCUUCUAACUUCUGCUUUCUCGUCACCUGCUUCUCCACUUCCUCAGCAUCCCGGGCUCGCCUCUGUUAGGACCCUUUGCCGGUAGUGACUGGUGAAUUCUCUCUCCUUGUCCAGACUGCACACCCUUCGGGAUUCUGAAUCAUCUUCGCCUUUGGAGGCCUAGUGUGGGAUAGCUUAUAAAGUUGAUUCACUGACUGCUGGUUUAAAAUGGUGUCUGUGAACAGCCUCUGGUACAGCUUUCUCCGUCACGUGCAGUAAAAUACCUAAGAAGGCUUAGAAGAAGAUAUAAACUCAAAAUACAGCCAUAAACUUGGACUGACAAUCAACUAAAGGCUGGAUCAGGGAGGUAGCAGAACCUGUCGGAAGGUUUGAUGGGAUAACGUGGCAGCUCAGGAGGAAGCAGAUCACCCUGAGAUCUGGGGAGUACUUCCAUUAAUAACUGAGGAAACAAAAAGCUAGAGGGGUGACAAGGUCAGGGUGAUCUUGAUGGGAAAUGAAGAGGCCAACCCUUGCACUGAAGGGCCUCUGACACCACCUCGUAUUCCACUCCUCCCUAUGAGUACAGAGGCAUCUUGGUGCCUUUCUGAUGGAAAUUGUCAAGUAACUGGAUUCGUAGGAUCAGCUGUAGUUUCUGGAUAGAGAAAUUUGACGCAGCUGGGUGGGAUAUCAGGCUCUGUGCCCCAUGGGCCUGAGGUCUAUUUACUGUGACUGAUGCCAACUCUUACAAAGAGGAGGCUGAGGAAGUUUUCAACCUCGUGGAUCCCAGUAACUAGCCUCAGCCGUGUUAGUCACUCUGCUAGUGGCUGCCAGAUCACGCACAGAUGCCACCUGCUGGGAAGAUCCCACUCCAAGACUGAGACCUGCUUCAGAACCUAGCGUGAGAAUUGUCAAUACCUACAACUUGGAAAUGCUGGGACAGGCAGAGCUGUAAUUAAAGUAGGUAGAGCGAGAAGAGUUCUUGUUUUACUCAGGAGGAAAUUGAGACUUACAAAGGCUUUGGAGACUUAACGUGAGAGGCAAAGGCAAGAAGAUCUGAUUUCUCUCUGCAUUUUGAUAACUAUCAUCUUCUCUUUUCUCUUUUCUUUUCUUUUCUUUUCUUUUCUUUUCUUUUCUUUUCUUUUCUUUUCUUUUCUUUUCUUUCUCUUCUUCCU